GUUGAUUUCCUACUAAGUCAAGGUUCCUUUGUAACUUGGUAUAGUUGGUUUGGAGUGGGAAGCAUUAGAAUCACCAAAGUGAUUACAUCUCCAAGUGAAGAAGACUUGAGGAAAAGUUUUUCGACGAAACGGGAAGUGAGUUUGGAAAGGCGUAAAGAGCUUGAAAGGUACAGACGACAGGUUCGCUGAUCCACACGUUUAGGAUCCCAUUUCUGCUAUUUUGGGGCGCUCUCUUCUUCAGAGCCCAUCUUUUGGUAUAGUCUGUCACUGCUAUCUGGAUAUGUACAUUGUUUUGGGUAUGACGGGGCCCUGUCCCGUCUUAUGAUUAUGUUAUGUUCUGUAGAGGUCUGUGGAUAUAUCUGUGUGGGUUCUGUACAUAUGUUUGGGAUACUUUGUUCUAUGAUGGCCUUAUCGGCCUAUGUGUGCCAAGUCUGCUUUUUAUGCUAAA
This is a long non-coding RNA of Lycium barbarum (goji berry), 448 nucleotides long. RefSeq lists it as uncharacterized. NCBI's taxonomy places the organism in Eukaryota, Viridiplantae, Streptophyta, Magnoliopsida, Solanales, Solanaceae. The transcript is spliced from 3 exons. The record is from RefSeq and is a predicted model, not a curated record.